GAUGAACGCUAGCGGCAGGCCUAAUACAUGCAAGACGAACGGUAAGUUUGGUAGCAAUACUGAACCAAGAGUGUCGUAAGGGUGCGUAACGGGUAUGCAAUCUGCCCUCAACAGGAGAAUAGAUCCCCGAAAGGGGAAUUAACACUCCGUAAUAUCCCGAUUCGGCAUCGUGUUGCGAUUAAAACUACGGUGGUUGAGGAUGAGCAUGCUUCUGAGUAGUUAGUUGGCGGGGUAACGGCCCACCAAGACGAUGAUCAGUAGGGGAACUGAGAGGUUGAUCCCCUACACUGGCACUGAGAUACAGGCCAGACGCCUACGGGAGGCAGCGGUAGUGAAUAUUGGACAAUGGGUGCGAGCCUGAUCCAGCCAUGCCGCGUGCAGGAAGACGGCCUUCUGGGUUGUAAACUGCUUUUGCCAGGGGAUAAAAAGCCCUUGCGAGGGAAAUUGAAGGUACCUGGUGAAUAAGCCACGGCUAACUACGUGCCAGCCGCCGCAGUAAAAC
Molecule: ribosomal RNA, 502 nt
Filed under: uncultured bacterium
Lineage: Bacteria
Description: bacterial SSU rRNA
Rfam family: Bacterial small subunit ribosomal RNA
Source: RNAcentral